UACGUAGGGUGCAAGCGUUGUCCGGAAUUAUUGGGCAUAAAGAGCUCGUAGGCGGUCUGUCACGUCGGCUGUGAAAUCCCGAGGCUCAACCUCGGGUCUGCAGUCGAUACGGGCAAACUAGAGUAUUGCAGGGGAGACUGGAAUUCCUGGUGUAGCGGUGAAAUGCGCAGAUAUCAGGAGGAACACCGGUGGCGAAGGCGGGUCUCUGGGCAAUAACUGACGCUGAGGAGCGAAAGCGUGGGGAGCGAACAGG
This 253-nucleotide ribosomal RNA is filed under the name uncultured bacterium. RNAcentral's name for it is "partial 16S ribosomal RNA". It matches the Rfam family "Bacterial small subunit ribosomal RNA", at positions 524 to 776 of the family's 1533-position model. The record is from RNAcentral.